GCUGGGCAUGGUGGUGGGUGCCUGUAAUCCCAGCUACUUGGGAGGCUGAGGCAGAAGAAUCGCUUGAACCCGGGAGGCGGAGAUUGUAGUGAGCCAAGAUUGCACCACUGCACUCCAGCCUGGGUGACAGAGCGAGACUCCGUCUCAA
Molecule: non-coding RNA, 148 nt
Filed under: Nomascus leucogenys (northern white-cheeked gibbon)
Lineage: Eukaryota; Metazoa; Chordata; Mammalia; Primates; Hylobatidae
Source: Rfam by way of RNAcentral